GAGAUAUGUAAAUUCUGGAGAUAGCAUUCAAAGUAAAAUGUUAGGAUUCAAAAUUAAAAACUGACACAGAAACUAAUAGAAGCAUACUUUUGUUUGUUUGUUUAUUAACAGCCCAAAUACUGCUCCACCUCUUCAAGUUCUUUCUUCACAGAAUCCCUCUGUCAUCCACCUCUCCUUCUCCUUUGAAAGGGUGCCCUACCAUGGGUAUCUGCCCAGCAUGGCUCCUCAAAGCUCUGCAAGAUUGGAAACAUCCUCUUCCAAUGAGGUCACCCAGACAGCCAUGGAGACAGAGCAGCAAAUGCUACUUAUAUGCCUGGGGUCCUCAGUUGAGCCAGUGUAUGCUUUUUAGCUGGUGUCUCAGUCUCUGACAGCUCCCAGGAAUCCAGCUGGCUGAAAACAUUAUUGCUUUCAAAUGCCCUAUAAACUUAUGAUCAACUUGAAAAUUUCUACCGAAGUAAUAUGUAAAGGAGAUUGUAUUCUUAAUUUCCUGGAGGUACAAAAAGAUAGAACCGUAAUCUCAAACAAUAUGUGAGAGAUAUUUUCAGGAUAUCAUGAUCUAUAUGAACUGUUACUUAGUAUUAUAAAGACUUACUUAAAAUAAAAUAUUUUAUUGAAAC
Molecule: long non-coding RNA, 617 nt
Filed under: Rattus norvegicus (Norway rat)
Lineage: Eukaryota; Metazoa; Chordata; Mammalia; Rodentia; Muridae
Description: long non-coding RNA NONRATT025774
Source: RNAcentral